This 253-nucleotide ribosomal RNA is filed under the name uncultured bacterium. RNAcentral describes it as "partial 16S ribosomal RNA". It matches the Rfam family "Bacterial small subunit ribosomal RNA", at positions 524 to 776 of the family's 1533-position model. The record is from RNAcentral.
UACAUGGGGUGCAAACGUUGCUCGGAAUUAUUGGGCGUAAAGCGCACGUAGGCGGUUUGUUAAGUCGGAUGUGAAAUCCCUCGGCUCAACUGAGGAAGUGCAUCCGAAACUGGCAGGCUUGAGUACUAAAGAGGGUCGCGGAAUUCCCGGUGUAGAGGUGAAAUUUGUAGAUAUCGGGAGGAACACCGGUGGCGAAGGCGGCGACCUGGGUAGAUACUGACGCUGAGGUGCGAAAGCGUGGGGAGCAAACAGG